Molecule: non-coding RNA, 45 nt
Filed under: Schistosoma margrebowiei
Lineage: Eukaryota; Metazoa; Platyhelminthes; Trematoda; Strigeidida; Schistosomatidae
Source: RNAcentral
AUCCAGCUGACGAGUCCCAAAUAGGGCAAAACUAAAGUCCUGAAU